This 315-nucleotide long non-coding RNA is filed under the name Aquilegia coerulea. Its description in RNAcentral is "long non-coding RNA (ACOE_LNC000895)". The record is from RNAcentral. Lineage: Eukaryota; Viridiplantae; Streptophyta; Magnoliopsida; Ranunculales; Ranunculaceae.
AAACUAGAAAAUAAAUCGAAACAUUAAAACAGGAGACUGCUGACUGCAUAAUAAAUUCCUACCCUCAAUGAACUUAAAAACAGGGGAGUAAUGCAUAGGAUCACUGUUUAAUGAUAAAAAAAGCUUAAUGAAAAUAGGUAGAUCUUUGACUAAUAUAAGGUGCAUCAACCAUAGGUAGAUCUUUGACUAAUAUCAACACCAUAUAUAUGUCAAUAUCUUAAACUACAAUCAAAAUGAAGUUUCUUCCAGAACAUUUGACCUAAUUAAUUAAAAAAUGAAUACAAUGCAGAUAUAUCAUAUAUACAGAGUUUUGAG